Phrynosoma platyrhinos (Desert horned lizard) is the source of this 73-nucleotide non-coding RNA. NCBI's taxonomy places the organism in Eukaryota, Metazoa, Chordata, Lepidosauria, Squamata, Phrynosomatidae. The record is from the annotation of a GenBank genome assembly.
ACCACUGUGGCUUAGUGGUUUUGAGUGUUAGACUAUGAUGCUGGACACCUGGGUUUGAAUCCCUGCUCGGGCA